GUCGGAUACAUGGUGGUCUCGUGUCUCCUGGCGGAGCUGUGCCGUAAUGAGCAAAAAGUUAGCUGUGCAUUAACGGUUUUAGGUCGAGCUAACUAGCAGAGGUGACUGGAAGUUCCUGUGGUUCUCCUUCCGGGGUGUCCAGUACCAGUACAACCGCCUGAUGUUCAUGCUCCCUGGCACUGCGCACUUUCUCCAAGUGUGUCGAGGCGGCUCUGGAGCCACUGUGGCGGUUGGGCAUUAGGGUCCUGUUUUGUCAUGUCGACCCAGUGAGACAGAGAUAGCGCCUGUGGAUUUGAAUCUGGCCUACUGGCGGGGCCCCCUCUCUCUUUCGGUCGGGGUUCCCCUGGGCAGGGUCACGUCCCAUAUCUCGCCUCCCUGAUGGGCUGGGGCAGGACCUGUCUCUCUCAAGUGGUAGGCGGUCUGUGGCAGGGCCACAUGCCUCUCCACAUAAACGUGCCAGAACUCCUCACGGUGUGGAAGGUGAUCCGACACUUUGCCCCUCUGCUGCGGGACCAGCACAUGCUGGUCCGCACUGACAAUAGGGCUGCAGCGGCCACCAGGGCGGGGUGCGAUCAGCACAGCUGCUGGGCUUGUCAAGGCGCAUGCUUGUGGACAGGGGACUGGCGUUCAGCACCUACACUGCCGCAAUCUCGUCCUGUCACGAACACCGUCCUGUCACGAGGCUUUUAAUGACAGGACGGUGUUUGUCCCCCUGAUAAAAGGGGUGUGGAGGCACAGGCCAGUGACACGGCCUGUUGAUCUACAGUGGGAUUUGCCGCUGGUCUGAUACAUGCAAACCCAAGCCCCUUUUGAGCCUUUACGGCGAACUUGAAGUUUCUUUUGGCCAAGGUCGCUUGCUUGUGGCUCUGAAAUCGGCCAAGAGGGUCAGCGAUCUGGCUGCCCUCUCUAUGACUCCAUCGUGUCUCAGGAUUCAGGGUGACAGCAGCUCAGCUGUCCUGUGCCCCAAUUCUGCAUUGUCAUAAAAGGCAGUGGCCUGGCUGGCUGGUCUUCUGCUGGUGGCUCGGUCUGCAGAAGGUCUGGUAACUGGAGGCUCUGCCAGUUGUGAGCAGGUCUGGUCUGCAGACCCCUGCUGGUAUGAGCAGGUUGGGGUUUGUGGGUCCUGGAAGAGAGGUGUGGAGGAGAUUGUGCCCUCUGGGGCACUCCCAAGCCCUGAACCUCCAAAUAUUUCAUCCAUGUGCUGUGAAGAGAGACAGAUUUAAAUCAAACGUUGUUUCUUGUUCUUCUAUCUGCUCAUUUGUAAAGCACUCAGUGUAUAAAUUGUGCUAUAUUAAUAAACUUGCCUUGCCAAAAACUG
Molecule: long non-coding RNA, 1315 nt
Organism: Micropterus salmoides (largemouth bass)
Lineage: Eukaryota; Metazoa; Chordata; Actinopteri; Centrarchiformes; Centrarchidae
Exons: 2
Source: RefSeq, a predicted model, not a curated record